AUAGAGAAGGAGGGAGGAACAGUGGGGGUGGUUGUGUUGUUGCUGGGUUCUGUAAAGACCAUACUGAGUUGUGGAAGAAGCAACAACAAACAGGGAAGUUCAAGAUUGUGGCUAGGGAUGAGCACAAGAAAUAGCAAGAUCUUGUGAGGUUCAAUGGUUUUCAUUAUUUUGUUGAUCUGUUGGUAGAAAUUUGGAAAUGGGGUUUAGAGAUGUUUCUUAUUCUAGUUUAGUUAUUUUGGUGUAGUUCUGUGUUAGGAUGAUUUUUAUGCAUGUGGUAAAAUAGAUGUUGAUUCAA
Molecule: non-coding RNA, 295 nt
Organism: Camellia sinensis
Lineage: Eukaryota; Viridiplantae; Streptophyta; Magnoliopsida; Ericales; Theaceae
Source: RefSeq, a predicted model, not a curated record